GACGAACGCUGGCGGCGUGCUUAACACAUGCAAGUCGAACGGAAAGGCCCUGCUUGAGGGUACUCGAGUGGCGAACGGGUGAGUAACACGUGGGUGAUCUGCCCUGCACUUCGGGAUAAGCCUGGGAAACUGGGUCUAAUACCGGAUAGGAGCCAUUUUUCGUGUGAUGGUUGGAAAGUUUUUUCGGUGUAGGAUGAGCUCGCGGCCUAUCAGCUUGUUGGUGGGGUAAUGGCCUACCAAGGCGGCGACGGGUAGCCGGCCUGAGAGGGUGGACGGCCACAUUGGGACUGAGAUACGGCCCAGACUCCUACGGGAGGCAGCAGUGGGGAAUAUUGCACAAUGGGCGCAAGCCUGAUGCAGCGACGCCGCGUGGGGGAUGACGGCCUUCGGGUUGUAAACUCCGUUCGCUAGGGACGAAGCUUUUUGUGACGGUACCUAGAUAAGAAGCACCGGCUAACUACGUG
Molecule: ribosomal RNA, 464 nt
Filed under: uncultured bacterium
Lineage: Bacteria
Description: partial 16S ribosomal RNA
Rfam family: Bacterial small subunit ribosomal RNA
Source: RNAcentral